This 497-nucleotide ribosomal RNA is filed under the name uncultured bacterium. RNAcentral's name for it is "partial 16S ribosomal RNA". It matches the Rfam family "Bacterial small subunit ribosomal RNA", at positions 28 to 507 of the family's 1533-position model. The record is from RNAcentral.
GAUGAACACUGGCGGCGUGCCUAAUACAUGCAAGUCGAGCGAACGGACGAGAAGCUUGCUUUUCUGAUGUUAGCGGCGGACGGGUGAGUAACACGUGGAUAACCUACCUAUAAGACUGGGAUAACUUCGGGAAACCGGAGCUAAUACCGGAUAAUAUUUUGAACCGCAUGGUUCAAAAGUGAAAGACGGUCUUGCUGUCACUUAUAGAUGGAUCCGCGCUGCAUUAGCUAGUUGGUAAGGUAACGGCUUACCAAGGCAACGAUGCAUAGCCGACCUGAGAGGGUGAUCGGCCACACUGGAACUGAGACACGGUCCAGACUCCUACGGGAGGCAGCAGUAGGGAAUCUUCCGCAAAGGGCGAAAGCCUGACGGAGCAACGCCGCGUGAGUGAUGAAGGUCUUCGGAUCGUAAAACUCUGUUAUUAGGGAAGAACAUAUGUGUAAGUAACUGUGCACAUCUUGACGGUACCUAAUCAGAAAGCCACGGCUAACUACGUG